ACGACAUAUGUGCUUGCUCAUAAGGGUAGUGUUGCCAUUUUACUUCCAAUUUUACACAAAAACCACAACUUCAUCCACUUUUUAUCUUAACACGCGUCCCUUCAGGCUUCCAUCUUCCUCCACCUUGGUUGCUUCCUGUUCUGCUCGCUGAAGUUUACCGCUUUGCUUCUGCUUGAUGUCGCUUUUUCAAUUCAGGUGAGUAUCUUCUGAAUAGAAGAAUCCAAAUUCUGGAAAAAAUCUAAUCCAACAUUUUUGUCUGUUAACUUUUAAAAAAAUGCAUGUUAAAAUUUGGCUUCUUUAUACCUUUACUCAGCCGCGAUUUCUGAUUGUCCUACGUUUUUGGAGUUACGUAUAUAGGCAGUUGACGAUUUUUCCUUCUCGGGAGAACCCGACUACUUCAAAAAAUCUAACCCACCAUUUUUGGGGAUUGAUAUAGUAAGAAAUAGAAUGGUCAAAUUUCACUUCUUUAUGCUUUUACUUAGUUGCAAUUUACUGAUUAUUCUUGGUUUACUGGAUUUUUUGUAUUUUUGUUGUCUGUGGAUUCAGUGUUCCUAUUUCUCCCUAAUCCUACACUCAGUAGUUAUUUGAAAAAAAACAAUCAUAUUUCUCCUUCAGUGCUUCUCCUAUGCUUAAAAAAACUUUGCUCUUGAAAUAUCAUCCUCAGUCUUGUGCUGUAAUGAUAGCUUUUCCUUUUCAAUUUAACUCUGUUUUGUAAGAAUUGAUUAAGUUGAAAUAUUUAAUAUUGUUAUCUUGAAAUUAAAGGGAAAGGCUUACUACCUUUUUAAUUAGUUCUUGACUACAACUUACAUUAAGGGGUGUCAAAUAGACGGGUUGAAUUGAAAUUAUGUCAGCUGAAUGAGCUAAAUCAAUAAAUGAGCGUGUUGUAACCCGAAAAGUUCAUCUUAGCAGAUUAGUACUAGCUAACAUCAGAUAGGCACAAUGGCAACUCUAUUUGGCAAUGACGUCUUGAAGUUCAAGAAUCUAAAGCGUCUACUUCCAUGAAAGAUUUUCUAAAGUAUCUAUCUCCUAAAGUUUGAUCGUCCACCAACUGAACAGGUAAAUUGUUGAAGAUGCAACAAAAUCUGGACCAAGGAUAGUUUCAUCAUUUGGUGUCCUUUUGGGUUUUCGCGUGAUUUAAACACAGUAGCAACUCACGCUCUUCCCACUGACAAUUACCAAGGAGAAAAAAUGGGCACUCCUUCUUCCCUCUUUGCUUCCUUCUUUGGUUUGCUGUUUCUUUAUCAUUCUUAAUUCAAACUUUUCUAUUUCUUUUUAUACAUCAAACAUCUAUUGUCCACAUAUAGCUGGUCAUAAGAGUUGUUGUCGAGGUCCUAUUUUGUUUUCACCUUCAUGUAUUGAUUUCAUUUGCUUCAAUUUGACUUGCUAGAGUAUAUAUAUAGCAUGUUGUUGCUUUACCGUUGCGUGGUUGGUCCUACAAUGAGUAGCUUUAGAUCUUCCUAAAGACUAGGCUGUUUUGGUCAUUUCAAUAAGCCUUCUGAGGCACUAGCUGUCCUGUAUCUAACUCUUAACAUGGUUGUGCUUUGUUUUGUUUCUAGCUGUGUGUGUUUUGGUUUUUCUUGCUCCUCAUACUUACCUUCGUAUGUUCCUAUGAUCAAUCAGCUUCUUCUACGUCUUACAUGAGUUUUCAAUCUGUUUUCUGUCUGAGGUAAGUCCUCAAUCUGUUACUGUGAUGGUGUUUAGAUGUUAAAGAAAAUUAGAGUGAUAGUUUUGCAGGUCUUCUGCUGACCACCUCAAGUUCAAUUCACCCUGGACUUGAAAGCUAGAUCUUAAGAAAAAUGUAUUAACUUUCACCUCCCAAAGUAAAACAGAAAGUUUAUGAUUUCCUUAUAUAAAAUAGUAAAGGGGCAAUCCAGUGCACAAAACAUCCCGUAUUAGCACAAUCUGACGGAUGUGAUGUAUAAAUCGUAAUCGUUAACUAUCUUUCUAAUUAUGUAUGCUAACAGGUGUUUAGACAUCACAUAAAAUUAGGUGUCAAGACAAAGCUUUACAAUUGUUACUGCCAUGGUGCUUAGAGAUGAGAAAAAAUAGCAAAAUGCUAAAGCUCUUUUACUUUCUUCAAGCUCCGUACAGACUUGGGAAACCAUGCUGAUAUCUUUGGUGCAAGGCCAAAGAUAGUUUCAGUUUUCAAGUUGGAAUGAAUUACCAAUAUAAAAAACCUGCUUGCGAAGUAGAUAACAAUUGUUGCGCUAGCUUGCCGUCAAAGUACUGAAAACUCCUUAAGGUAUUGAUAUUUACUGAUCAAUUUUGAAAACUUUUUCGUUUGUUAAAACAGAUUGGUCUAGUUUAAUGAUAGAAUUACCAUGGAUCAAGAUUGACUCACUAUUGAUCCCUUUCAAUAUCAUACGUACUAAUGUUUUUCUAAAUUCUCUAAGUACAUUAAGUUGGAAUGUUUUUCACCUAUAAUGAUUGGAUAAGUGUUAAACUAUUAAUAACACCCUCAACAUAGGAACAAUUCGUAUUCAUUUUUACAUUUUGAUCCAUUAUAGUUGGGGCAGAAGAUAGAGUAGAUAUUGUACAAGUAUAAUAACAAUUAAAUCUGGAUGAAUUUUGCGAGUAAUCACUUUCUGUUCACCUUCCGAAACUGCUUAACUGAUCAUUAUCCGACUCAGAUGGAUUGAAAAAUAUAAGGAAUUAUGAAACUUUGGUUAUAUUUAGCAAGAAAAUCUUUCACUACUUCUCCAGACCUGGUGUUCAGCUUCGGCGAUCACCUAAUCCCAAACUUCGUUUCUAUCUUCCAUUACUUCAUUAAACUCCUUUCCCAUCUCAAAUGAGUGUUAAAUUUGUUACCAUUGUUCUGUUUUAAUUUUCUCCUUCGUUUUGGACUGCUGCAAUACCUUUUAAUUUUUAUUUUGUAUCAUGUUAUGAAGAUUCACAUUUUUAUUCAUGUAUGAACCGAGGCUUUUGACGGGCUGAAUAUAUAAGUUCAUUCUGCAUACUUUCCUCAGAACUAGGUAAUUUGCCUUUACAUUAGUUGUUUAGCUUACUUUAUCAGCCAAUAACUUUUAUGUACCUAUACUUUAUAAUAACCUAGCUGAUGAUUGAUUCCUAUACAUAUUGAG
This 3080-nucleotide long non-coding RNA is filed under the name Solanum tuberosum (potato). RNAcentral's name for it is "long non-coding RNA (STUB_LNC009729)". The record is from RNAcentral. Lineage: Eukaryota; Viridiplantae; Streptophyta; Magnoliopsida; Solanales; Solanaceae.